Molecule: ribosomal RNA, 442 nt
Filed under: uncultured bacterium
Lineage: Bacteria
Description: partial 16S ribosomal RNA
Rfam family: Bacterial small subunit ribosomal RNA
Source: RNAcentral
CCUACGGGUGGCAGCAGUAGGGAAUCUUUCACAAUGGGCGAAAGCCUGAUGGAGCAACGCCGCGUGCAGGAUGAAGGCCUUCGGGUUGUAAACUGCUUUUAUAAGCGAGAAAUAUGAUGGUAACUUAUGAAUAAGGAUCGGCUAACUACGUGCCAGCAGCCGCGGUCAUACGUAGGAUCCGAGCAUUAUCCGGAGUGACUGGGUGUAAAGAGUUGCGUAGGUGGCAUAAUAAGUAGCUAGUGAAAUCUGGUGGCUCAACCAUUCAGACUAUUAGCUAAACUGUUAAGCUCGAGACCGUUAGGGGUAACUGGAAUUUCUAGUGUAGGGGUGAAAUGCGUAGAUAUUAGAAGGAACACCAAGAGCGUAGGCAGGUUACUGGGACGGUUCUGACACUAAGGCACGAAAGCGUAGGGAGCAAACGGGAUUAGAUACCCCUGUAGUC